Molecule: long non-coding RNA, 594 nt
Filed under: Rattus norvegicus (Norway rat)
Lineage: Eukaryota; Metazoa; Chordata; Mammalia; Rodentia; Muridae
Description: long non-coding RNA NONRATT017718
Source: RNAcentral
UGUCCAGCAAGCAUGUCCAUCUCUUGGUCCACGGGCCACAUGUGACCACGUGUGACUGAGAAUGACAGUGAAUGCAGCCCGACAGAAAAAUCUUAAAACUUCUUUAAACAUGAUUUUUGCAUUUGGGAGUUCCGGCUCAAGUUUCUGCCUACCACUCGAAGCCAGUUACUAAUAACAGCCCAGUGAGCUUUGCAUGCACGGAGAGCAGAUGGUGUUUUUGAAAGGAAGAGUGACCAUUCCUGUGACUUUGGACUUGGCUCCGUCGAACCCCUGAACGCCCAGUCAGAUCCAAGUCCCUAGAAGCCAUACAUGAACACAACACCUAGGCCAUGGUUGUCUCCUAGUUGAAGAUGUCAUGAUCAUUUGAAUACGUGGCUUUUCUGAAGGAAGCUGUGAGGUUCUUUCAAAGAGAAGGAUUCCUAAGAGUAUAAGGGACAUUGUGACCAUUUAAGCAUAUUUAAGCAUUCUAUGAUUUCAUAUGUGCACUAUCAUUUUAAUGAAUAUAAUAUGUUCUGUCUAUGGCUGAGUAAUGGUUUUUGAUGGCCAUUCCUUAUCUUCUAAUUGAUUUAAUGUAAUAAAAUAAUUCAAAAUUUA